UACGUAGGGUGCAAGCGUUAAUCGGAAUUACUGGGCGUAAAGCGUGUGCAGGCGGUUUUGUAAGUCUGUCGUGAAAGCCCCGGGCUCAACCUGGGAAUUGCGAUGGAGACUGCAAGGCUUGAAUCUGGCAGAGGGGGGUAGAAUUCCACGUGUAGCAGUGAAAUGCGUAGAGAUGUGGAGGAACACCGAUGGCGAAGGCAGCCCCCUGGGUCAAGAUUGACGCUCAUGCACGAAAGCGUGGGGAGCAAACAGG
Molecule: ribosomal RNA, 253 nt
Filed under: uncultured bacterium
Lineage: Bacteria
Description: partial 16S ribosomal RNA
Rfam family: Bacterial small subunit ribosomal RNA
Source: RNAcentral